Molecule: long non-coding RNA, 316 nt
Organism: Capsella rubella
Lineage: Eukaryota; Viridiplantae; Streptophyta; Magnoliopsida; Brassicales; Brassicaceae
Exons: 2
Source: RefSeq, a predicted model, not a curated record
GGCAGUUAUCAUGACAAGUGGAUGCUGUUUGAGCAGUACCACUGGAAAAAGGCAAGGGCAAAGAAUCAGCCUUACGAAUUCAAGUGGAAUAAGAUACCGAAAGAAGUCAGGGACUCGUAUUAUUACAACUGGCCUGUCUACUUCCCAUAGAAGUCUCUGUGUUGCUCCCCAGCUUGUGAAUCAGAAGAGAUGCCAAAUACUUGUGGAACUUCUGUGGAAUCUUGGCUCUAUCUCUUCUUUGUUCUGUUCUUUCUAGUACUUUUCGAUUUUAAGUUCUUUUUGUAAUGAUCAAUCACUCAACUCUUUACUGUUUAAA